GUAGCGCUGGCUGGAAGCGAUGAGUGGCAGCUGGAGGGAGAGGCCAGUCCGUCACUGGAUGGUGUCCUGAGUGCAGAGCAGGGACCGAGGCACUGGUGGAUGUGGCCCAUCCUUCUCUCUGCUUAGUCAACCGAGUGUUGAACAUGAAACACCUGAGGUCAGAUUUGCAGAAGUGCUGAGCACUCACAACUUCACCUGAAGUCAAUUGACACUGUAUUUUGAGCAUAUAAUGUCCUAUUAAAAUGGUUCUCAAAAGCAACUAAACAGUUUGGACUCACCAUCAGCCUGGAAAAAACAAAGUCCUCUUCCAAACAGUCCCAUCAACCACUAUCACAGAGCAAACGUCACCAUUGAUAGUACAAAACUAAUGCACAUCAAUCACUUUACAUACCUUGGCAGUACCAUCUCAAGUGACAGUUCCUUGGAUCAAGAAAUAUCAAAUAGAAUCUAAAAGGCAAGCCUGGCUUUUGGAAGACUUCGCUAUAGGAUACUCAGCUGUAUACCAACAAACUGUCAAUAAAACUGAGGUACAAUUCAGCUGUCAGAGCAUCUCUUUUAUACAGACGUGAAACAUGGAUAGUUUACCCCAGACACAUCAAACAACUUGAAAAAUUUCACAUGUGCUGUCUUUGCUUUGUUUUGAAGGUCCAUAAGUGUAAAUCAUUAUCAUCCUGGAAAGAACAAAACCAACCAGCAUUGAGGCAAUGAUCAGGAAAGCUCAGCUUAGAUGGACAGGUCAUGUUAUCAGAAUGGGUGGUGAUUGAGUCCCACAAAAAGUCCUCUAUGGUAAGCUGAAACUCAGACAGCACAGAAAUAGUGGUCAACAUAAACACUUGAAAGAUACCCUUAAGUAGAAUCUCAACUUGCUCACGUGACAUGGAUAUAGAUAACCUUGAAGACACAGCCCAGGACAGAACAGAAUGGAGAGCAACUAUCAAUAAAGAAUAUAAACACUUUGGGAAAGACAGACAUGAAAAAAUGAUUGAAAAAAGGGCUAAGCGCUAUGUCAAGUCUUCAACAGGAGCCUACACAUGCCUACAUAUGUAUUACUAUAUGUGAGAUGCUGUGAUGUCAUUGUUAGGUAUGAUGGACAGGUGUACAAUGUUGCUUAUUAUGGGUAAAAUUUUCAAACGUGCCCAAGUGACUUGGAAGACGUAGGAUAUGUCUACGUGCGCAGGUGCUGACUCCGUGGGUGCUCUGCAGGGCAGGAGUCCUGGGGGCGGGGCCGGGCCACAACCCCCUCGUGGGGUGAGGAGGGAACUGGUUGUUAAGAUUUUGGCAGCUCAUCACUGGGUGUUACCAUACACACUGUAACAAGAGUGAUCAGGUAAGGUGAGCUAUUACCAGCAGGAGAGCGGGGGCAGGGGAGGGGAUUUGUAGUGAUAAUCAAGGUGGGCCAUUUCCAGCAGUUGACAAGAAUAUGUGAGGAACAGUAGUGGGGGGGAAUAAACAUGGGGAAAUAGUUUUACUUUGUGUAAUCACCCAUCCACUCCCAGGCUCUAUUCAAGCCUAAGUUAAUUGUAUCCAGUUUGCAAAUUAGUUCCAAUUCAGCAGUCUCUCAUUGGAGUCUGUUUUUGAAGUUUUUUUGUUGAAGAAUUGCCACUUUUAGGUCUGUAAUCAAGUGACCAGAGAGAUUGAAGUGUUCUCCAACUGGUUUUUGAAUGUUAUAAUUCUUGACAUCUGAUUUGUGUCCAUUUAUUCUUUUACAUAGAGACUGUCCAGUUUGGCCAAUGUACAUGGCAGAGGGGCAUUGCUGGCACAUGAUGGCACAUUGGUAGAUGUGCAGGUGAACGAGCCUCUGAUAGUGUGGCUGAUGUGAUUAGGCCCUAUGAUGGUGUCCCCUGAAUAGAUAUGUGGACACAGUUGGCAACGGGCUUUGUUGCAAGGAUAGGUUCCUGGGUUAGUGUUUUUGUUGUGAAGUGUGUGGUUGCUGGUGAGUAUUUGCUUCAGGUUGGGGGGCUGUCUGUAAGCAAGGACUGGCCUGUCUCUCAAGUUCUGUGAGAGUGAUGGGUCGUCCUUCAGGAUAGGUUGUAGAUCCUUGAUGAUGCGUUGGAGAGGUUUUAGUUGGGGGCUGAAGGUGAUGGCUAGUUGCGUUCUGUUAUUUUCUUUGUUGGGCCUGUCCUGUAAUAGGUAACUUUUGGGUACUCUUCUGGCUUUGUCACUCUCGUUACAGUGUGUACGGUAACACCCAUUGUUUCAUGUUCUCUGUGUAUAUAAAAUCUCCCCACUGUAUUUUCCACUGCAUGCAUCCGCUGAAG
Long non-coding RNA from Caretta caretta (loggerhead turtle), 2258 nucleotides. RefSeq lists it as uncharacterized. The record is from RefSeq and is a predicted model, not a curated record. NCBI's taxonomy places the organism in Eukaryota, Metazoa, Chordata, Testudines, Cheloniidae.